This 395-nucleotide ribosomal RNA is filed under the name uncultured bacterium. RNAcentral's name for it is "bacterial SSU rRNA". It matches the Rfam family "Bacterial small subunit ribosomal RNA", at positions 29 to 430 of the family's 1533-position model. The record is from RNAcentral.
UUGAACGCUGGCGGCAUGCCUUACACAUGCAAGUCGAACGGCAGCACGGGAGCAAUCCUGGUGGCGAGUGGCGAACGGGUGAGUAAUAUAUCGGAACGUGCCCAGUGAUGGGGGAUAGCCCGGCGAAAGCCGGAUUAAUACCGCAUACGACCUACGGGUGAAAGCAGGGGAUCGCAAGACCUUGCGUCAUUGGAGCGGCCGAUAUCAGAUUAGCUUGNGGUGGGGUAAAAGCCUACCAAGGCGACGAUCUGUAGCUGGUCUGAGAGGACGACCAGCCACACUGGGACUGAGACACGGCCCAGACUCCUACGGAGGCAGCAGUGGGGAAUUUUGGACAAUGGGCGCAAGCCUGAUCCAGCCAUGCCGCGUGCGGGAAGAAGGCCUCGGUUGUAACG